This 402-nucleotide ribosomal RNA is filed under the name uncultured bacterium. RNAcentral describes it as "bacterial SSU rRNA". It matches the Rfam family "Bacterial small subunit ribosomal RNA", at positions 358 to 774 of the family's 1533-position model. The record is from RNAcentral.
GGAAUAUUGGGCAAUGGGCGCAAGCCUGACCCAGCAACGCCGCGUGAAGGAUGAAGGCUUUCGGGUUGUAAACUUCUUUUAUUCGGGACGAAGAAAAUGACGGUACCGAAUGAAUAAGCCACGGCUAACUACGUGCCAGCAGCCGCGGUAAUACGUAGGUGGCAAGCGUUAUCCGGAUUUACUGGGUGUAAAGGGCGUGUAGGCGGGACUGCAAGUCAGAUGUGAAAACUAUGGGCUCAACCCAUAGCCUGCAUUUGAAACUGUAGUUCUUGAGUGCUGGAGAGGCAAUCGGAAUUCCGUGUGUAGCGGUGAAAUGCAUAGAUAUACGGAGGAACACCAGUGGCGAAGGCGGAUUGCUGGACAGUAACUGACGCUGAGGCGCGAAAGCGUGGGGAGCAAACA